CUAACACAUGCAGUCGGACGGUAGCACAGAGAGCUUGCUCUCGGGUGACGAGUGGCGGACGGGUGAGUAAUGUCUGGGAAACUGCCCGAUGGAGGGGGAUAACUACUGGAAACGGUAGCUAAUACCGCAUAACGUCGCAAGACCAAAGUGGGGGACCUUCGGGCCUCACACCAUCGGAUGUGCCCAGAUGGGAUUAGCUAGUAGGUGGGGUAAUGGCUCACCUAGGCGACGAUCCCUAGCUGGUCUGAGAGGAUGACCAGCCACACUGGAACUGAGACACGGUCCAGACUCCUACGGGAGGCAGCAGUGGGGAAUAUUGCACAAUGGGCGCAAGCCUGAUGCAGCCAUGCCGCGUGUAUGAAGAAGGCCUUCGGGUUGUAAAGUACUUUCAGCGGGGAGGAAGGCGGUGAGGUUAAUAACCUCACCGAUUGACGUUACCCGCAGAAGAAGCACCGGCUAACUCCGUGCCAGCAGCCGCGGUAAUACGGAGGGUGCAAGCGUUAAUCGGAAUUACUGGGCGUAAAGCGCACGCAGGCGGUCUGUCAAGUCGGAUGUGAAAUCCCCGGGCUUAACCUGGGAACUGCAUUCGAAACUGGCAGGCUAGAGUCUUGUAGAGGGGGGUAGAAUUCCAGGUGUAGCGGUGAAAUGCGUAGAGAUCUGGAGGAAUACCGGUGGCGAAGGCGGCCCCCUGGACAAAGACUGACGCUCAGGUGCGAAAGCGU
Molecule: ribosomal RNA, 722 nt
Filed under: bacterium
Lineage: Bacteria
Description: bacterial SSU rRNA
Rfam family: Bacterial small subunit ribosomal RNA
Source: RNAcentral